This is a non-coding RNA of Pantherophis guttatus, 104 nucleotides long. Lineage: Eukaryota; Metazoa; Chordata; Lepidosauria; Squamata; Colubridae. The record is from RefSeq and is a predicted model, not a curated record.
GUGCUCGCUUCGGCAGCACAUAAAUUAAAAUUGGAACGAUACAGAGAUUAGCAUGGCCCCUGCUCAAGAAUGACACGUAAAUUCAUGAAGUGUUCCAUUUUUUA